CGUCUGGGGGGGAGAGUGGCGAACUGGUGAGUAACACGUGGGUGACCUGCCCCGAAGACGGGGAUAACCGUUGGAAACGACGGCUAAUACCCGAUAUACUCGGUGAUUCGGUUCAUCGAGUAAAGGCUCCGGUGCUUCGGGAUGGGCCUGCGGCCUAUCAGCUAGUUGGUGGGGUAAUGGCCCACCAAGGCGAAGACGGGUAGGGGGCGUGAGAGCGCGGUCCCCCACACUGGCACUGAGAUACGGGCCAGACUUCUACGGAAGGCAGCAGUCGGGGAUAUUGCACAAUCGGCGACAGCCGGAUGCAGCGACUCCGCGUGGGCGAUGAAGGCCUUCGGGUUGUAAAGCCCUUUUAUGGGGAAGAGACAUGGACGGUACCCCAAGAAUAAGCGUCGGCUAACUACGUGCCAGCAGCCGUGGUACAACGUAGGACGCAAGCGUUAUCCGGAUUUACUGGGCGUAAAGAGCGUUGAGGCGGUUCCGUAAGUUGGGCGUGAAAGCCCCGGGCUUAACCCGGGGAGGUCGUUCAAUACUGCGGGACUUGAGGGCAGCACAGGGAGGCGGAAUUCCCGGUGUAGCGGUGAAAUGCGUAGAUAUCGGGAGGAACACCAUUGGCGAAGGCGGCCUCCUGGGCAUGUCUCUGACGCUGACGGCGAAAGCUCAUGGGAGCGAACGGGAUUAGAAACCCCGGUAGUCCUAGCAGUAAACGAUGGAUGCUGGAUUUGGCGGGUAUAGAUCCCCUCCGUGCCGAAGCUAACGCGUUAAGCAUCCCGCCUGGGGAUUACGGCCGCAAGGCUUAAACUCAAACGAAUUGACGGGGGCCCAGCACAAGCAGCGGAGCGUUUGGUUUAAUUCGAUGCUACACGAAGAACCUUACCUGGGCUUGACAUGUAGGUAGUAGUGAAGCGAAAGCGGAACGACCGUUCGGGGAGCCUACACAGGUGCUGCAUGGCUGUCGUCAGUUCGUGCCGUGAGGUGUCGGGUUAAGUCCCGUAACGAACGCAACCCAUGCCCUUAGUUACAUGUGUCUAAGGGGACUGCCCGGGACAACUGGGAGGAAGGUGGGGAUGACGUCAAGUCAGCA
This 1084-nucleotide ribosomal RNA is filed under the name uncultured organism. RNAcentral describes it as "bacterial SSU rRNA". It matches the Rfam family "Bacterial small subunit ribosomal RNA", at positions 78 to 1195 of the family's 1533-position model. The record is from RNAcentral.